GACGAACGCUGGCGGCAUGGAUUAGGCAUGCAAGUUGAACGAACACUUCGGUGUGAGUAGCGAAAGGGUGAGGAACACGUGAGUAAUCUGCCUCCAAGUUGGGAAUAACAGUUGGAAACGACUGCUAAUACCGAAUGUGGCUAAUUGAUCGCAUGAUUGAUUGGCUAAAGAUUUAUCGCUUGGAGAUGAGCUCGCGUCCCAUUAGGUAGUUGGUGAGGUAAUGGCUCACCAAGCCGAUGAUGGGUAGCUGGUCUGAGAGGAUGGUCAGCCACACUGGGACUGAGACACUGCCCAG
Molecule: ribosomal RNA, 295 nt
Filed under: uncultured bacterium
Lineage: Bacteria
Description: partial 16S ribosomal RNA
Rfam family: Bacterial small subunit ribosomal RNA
Source: RNAcentral